ACGAAAUCCUCGCAUCUGUACAUUCUGGUCUGGAAUUGCAAUUUAGCAAAAGAAUUUCUUGCUUAGAAGACAUAGGAACGUUCACUUGCUUUGCCAAAAACGAGCUAAAUUUGGAAAUACCGAGUAAUAAAACACUUGGUGUCGACGUCAAGUGUUCACCAGUCUAUCCGUUAAAAUAUUCGCCGAAGUUGAAUGUCACUGCCACAAACGGAGAAGAUGUAAUUUUAACUUUCAAAGUGUUUUCGAAUCCACCACCAUUUUCUGCAUUUUGGUCAUUUAGACAGGACGCUAAACAAACACCUCAAAAUAUUACACAAGAUAUAGUAUACAUUUCCAAUGACAAUAUGACAACCGACAUAAGGAUCUCAAGAAUAAGACCAGACGAAUUUGGAGAAUAUUCAGUCACUGUACACAACAUCCUCGGAUCGAUUAGUGAAACAUUUUAUAUAAUUCCUGAAGGACCACCAGAAAGACCUUUACAUUUUGUUGUUAAAGAAUAAUUUAUUACCAACACCACAGCUGUCGUUGCAUGGACACCUUCAUUUAACGGAGGUCAACUUCAAACAUUCAAUGUUUCUUGGAGACAGGUCCUCACAACUAAUUGGUUCUCUGCAAACGCUGGAACUUACGCUAAUAACUUUACAUUCAUAGAGUUGAUACCAGGAACAAAGUAUGAGGCAAAAAUGUUCUCUUCCAAUUUAAACGGAAGGUCGGACGAAACUGAAAUUAUUUCAUUUUCAA
Molecule: long non-coding RNA, 741 nt
Organism: Mya arenaria
Lineage: Eukaryota; Metazoa; Mollusca; Bivalvia; Myida; Myidae
Exons: 3
Source: RefSeq, a predicted model, not a curated record